AAGAUACGUAUUUGCCAAAGAGGAGCUGGAAGUGGUUACUAUGUGGUUCCUGUGUGUCAAGGCCAUAUCAGCAAAAGAAAGAGAAAUCAGGAUUUCUUGCACGGCUUCACCGCUUGUUCAGACGUCAAUAAAUGUAUUGCUAGUGUUAUUAUUAUUAUUAAAAGAUUCAAUUAUUUUUCAAAUAA
Molecule: long non-coding RNA, 185 nt
Organism: Ostrea edulis (European flat oyster)
Lineage: Eukaryota; Metazoa; Mollusca; Bivalvia; Ostreida; Ostreidae
Exons: 2
Source: RefSeq, a predicted model, not a curated record